AAUUUCCUGGGGCGUUCGCCAGCUCACUUAUUUUGAUCCUACAUUUUUCGAUUGGGAUUCCUAUAUGUUCAUGCUGAUGUCGGGCCUCCUGAGAGUGGAUGGCAGAUGUAUGACUGCGGUCACCCACCUGGCUUUGGCUAGGAGUCGAAGACGUGGGUAACGGCGUUUUGGGAAAUUA
This 178-nucleotide non-coding RNA is filed under the name Eubacteriales bacterium. RNAcentral describes it as "6S RNA". It matches the Rfam family "6S / SsrS RNA". From Rfam's summary of the family: E. coli 6S RNA was the first non coding RNA to be sequenced, but its function was unknown until recently. The record is from RNAcentral. Lineage: Bacteria; Bacillati; Bacillota; Clostridia; Eubacteriales.